MicroRNA precursor from Monodelphis domestica (gray short-tailed opossum), 102 nucleotides. Lineage: Eukaryota; Metazoa; Chordata; Mammalia; Didelphimorphia; Didelphidae. The record is from Ensembl.
UAGGUGGCACAAUGGACAAAGCGCCAGGCCUGGAGUCUGGAAGACUCAUCUUCCUGAGUUCAAAUCUGGCCACAGACACAUACCAGCUGUGUGACCCUGGGC